This is a long non-coding RNA of Heterocephalus glaber (naked mole-rat), 669 nucleotides long. NCBI's taxonomy places the organism in Eukaryota, Metazoa, Chordata, Mammalia, Rodentia, Bathyergidae. The record is from Ensembl.
GUGACAUUUGAGAGAGACAUACUGGACAGAAAUGAGUGAUUGGUCUGAGAUGUAACAAGCUUGGAUGUAUGUGUUAUUGUUGUUCUGAGACAUGAUCUUGCUACAUUGCCAGAUUGGCCUUGAACUCUCAAGGUCAAGUGCUUCUGCUGACUUUAGCCUCCCCAGUAGCUGGGACUACAGUAUUUAAAAUCGAAUCACCCAGGCAUGGAUUUUGUGUUGGCCUUUGAGGCCUAGGUGUUAUCUGGAUGACUCCUACUUGAAACUAUUAUUACUCAUUAAUCCUUGAGAUAAUUAAUUUUUAUUAGAUGCCUAAACCUGUGACCUGGCUGACCCAGGACAGCUACAUUUAAUUAACAAGGAAGCAUAUCAGGAAAAACUUCAAAGCAAUAGCUUAAGGAUUGGGAAAACAUAAAUGGUGUGACACGACAGCCCUACACAGCCAAAAGAAUCACCUAUGUGUGGAGAAGUGUCAAGGACAAGUGGCUGGCUGAACACUUUCACCAGAGAUGAAUUUCAUAGGCAAAUGAGAGGAAGAUUUUCCUCUUGCAGAAUUCCAUGGCAGAGUUUGAUCUUGGCACUGUUUUCUGUGGAACCAUGAAGAAGUGUGAGAAUUCUUCAUAUAGUUCUUCAGGUAACUACCAUCAGUCAAUUGAAGAUGGCAAGAAAAAC